AACGCGAAGAACCUUACCAAGGUUUGACAUGGACGGAAAUCCUCCAGAGAUGGGGGGUCCUUCGGGGCCGUUCACAGGUGGUGCAUGGCUGUCGUCAGCUCGUGUCGUGAGAUGUUGGGUUAAGUCCCGCAACGAGCGCAACCCUCGUCCCAUGUUGCCAGCGGGUUAUGCCGGGGACUCAUGGGAGACUGCCGGGGUCAACUCGGAGGAAGGUGGGGAUGACGUCAAGUCAUCAUGCCCCUUAUGUCUUGGGCUGCAAACAUGCUACAAUGGCCGGUACAAAGGGCUGCAAACCCGUGAGGGCAAGCGAAUCCCGGAAAGCCGGUCUCAGUUCGGAUCGGGGUCUGCAACUCGGCCCCGUGAAGCCGGAGUCGCUAGUAAUCGCGGAUCAGCAACGCCGCGGUGAAUACGUUCCCGGGCCUUGUA
This 426-nucleotide ribosomal RNA is filed under the name uncultured Actinomycetes bacterium. RNAcentral describes it as "bacterial SSU rRNA". It matches the Rfam family "Bacterial small subunit ribosomal RNA", at positions 958 to 1385 of the family's 1533-position model. Lineage: Bacteria; Bacillati; Actinomycetota; Actinomycetes. The record is from RNAcentral.